CUGCAGCGCACGGAUGCGCUCAGGAUCAAGGAUGAUCGACCAUGGCCAGGACGGCGUUCCAAAAGGAUUUGGAUGGUCAGGAAAAACCCGCUUCGGCGGGUUUUUU
Molecule: small RNA, 106 nt
Filed under: uncultured Pseudomonas sp.
Lineage: Bacteria; Pseudomonadati; Pseudomonadota; Gammaproteobacteria; Pseudomonadales; Pseudomonadaceae
Source: RNAcentral